Non-coding RNA from Acanthosepion pharaonis, 109 nucleotides. Lineage: Eukaryota; Metazoa; Mollusca; Cephalopoda; Sepiida; Sepiidae. The record is from the annotation of a GenBank genome assembly.
AGCCACAUCACAUUGAAACAUCAGUUCCCAUAUGAUCACCAAAGUUAAGCAACAUCGAGCUUGGUCAGUACCUAGUUUAGUGACUGCUUGGGGAUACCAGGUGCUGUAA